UAGGGAAUCUUCCACAAUGGACGCAAGUCUGAUGGAGCAACGCCGCGUGAGUGAAGAAGGUUUUCGGAUCGUAAAGCUCUGUUGUUGGUGAAGAAGGAUAGAGGCAGUAACUGGUCUUUAUUUGACGGUAAUCAACCAGAAAGUCACGGCUAACUACGUGCCAGCAGCCGCGGUAAUACGUAGGUGGCAAGCGUUGUCCGGAUUUAUUGGGCGUAAAGCGAGCGCAGGCGGAAUGAUAAGUCUGAUGUGAAAGCCCACGGCUCAACCGUGGAACUGCAUCGGAAACUGUCAUUCUUGAGUGCAGAAGAGGAGAGUGGAACUCCAUGUGUAGCGGUGGAAUGCGUAGAUAUAUGGAAGAACACCAGCGGCGAAGGCGGCUCUCUGGUCUGCAACUGACGCUGAGGCUCGAAAGCAUGGGUAGCGAACAGGAUUAGAUACCCUGGUAGUCCAUGCCGUAAACGAUGAGUGCUAAGUGUUGGGAGGUUUCCGCCUCUCAGUGCUGCAGCUAACGCAUUAAGCACUCCGCCUGGGGGAGUACGACCGCAAGGUUGAAAC
This 555-nucleotide ribosomal RNA is filed under the name uncultured bacterium. RNAcentral's name for it is "partial 16S ribosomal RNA". It matches the Rfam family "Bacterial small subunit ribosomal RNA", at positions 355 to 900 of the family's 1533-position model. The record is from RNAcentral.